UCCGGACCGUCAGUACCAGUCUCGAGGCUGAGGCGGGGAGAUGGCGUUCCGCAGCAAGAGACCGGAGCACGGCGGGCCUCCCGAGCUGUUUUACGAUAAGAAUGAAGCCCGGAAAUACGUGCGCAACUCACGGAUUAUUGACAUCCAGACCAAGAUGGCUGGGCGAGCUUUGGAGCUUCUCUGUCUGCCUGAGGGUCAGCCCUGUUACCUUUUGGAUAUUGGCUGUGGUUCUGGGCUGAGUGGAGAUUAUCUCUCGGAUGAAGGGCACUAUUGGGUGGGCAUCGACAUCAGCCCCGCCAUGCUGGAUGUGGCCUUGGACCGGGAAACUGAGGGAGACCUGCUUCUGGGGGACAUGGGCCAGGGCAUCCCCUUCAAACCAGGCUCCUUUGAUGGUUGUAUCAGCAUUUCUGCUGUACAGUGGCUCUGUAACGCAAACAAGAAGUCUGACAUCCCUGCCAAGCGCCUGUACUGCUUCUUUUCUUCUCUCUACUCUGUGCUGGUCCGUGGAGCCCGUGCCAUCCUGCAGCUGUACCCUGAGAACUCAGAGCAGUUGGAGCUGAUCACAGCCCAGGCCACCAAGGCUGGCUUCACGGGUGGCGUGGUGGUGGACUUCCCCAACAGUGCCAAGGCCAAGAAGUUCUACCUCUGCUUGUUUUCUGGGCCGUCAACCUUUCUGCCUAGGGCCCUGAACGAGAGUAAGGACGACGAGGAGGUCCAGGAGUCCGAGUUCACGAGCGAGAGGACAUCCUUGGGUCGUGCACUCAUGUGCUCAGGAAAUGGCUGUUACUCAAAUGGAUCCUGUACAGGAUGGCGAAGCGCAGGAUCAUGAGGAAGAGUCGCGAGUGGGUGCUAGCAAAGAAGGCGCGCUACAGGCGGCAGGGCGAGGCGGUCAGACCGGACACCCGCUACACCGGCCGCAAGCGCAGACCCCGCUUCUGAGCGGCGAGCCGGACAUGUUUGGAGGCCCAGCGAUGCGCCGCGCCUCGCCACCCACCUUGUCGCCUGCCGGGGUUCUCUCUGUUGAAGUGCCUACUUCCAUUACCUGACAAGAUACUGUUUCAGAAAAGUUCUCAAGUUCUAACCAUUUCUCUUCACUAACAAAAGUUCUUGUUCUAAAAGCAAUAAACCACUUUUUGUGGAA
Molecule: RNA transcript, 1141 nt
Organism: Callorhinus ursinus (northern fur seal)
Lineage: Eukaryota; Metazoa; Chordata; Mammalia; Carnivora; Otariidae
Gene: BUD23
Gene name: BUD23 rRNA methyltransferase and ribosome maturation factor
Source: RefSeq, a predicted model, not a curated record